This is a long non-coding RNA of Strigops habroptila (Kakapo), 715 nucleotides long. RefSeq lists it as uncharacterized. The record is from RefSeq and is a predicted model, not a curated record. Lineage: Eukaryota; Metazoa; Chordata; Aves; Psittaciformes; Psittacidae. The transcript is spliced from 3 exons.
CUCCCUCCGCGCCGCCUCCCCGCCGCGCGCGCCGGCUCUUCCCCCCAGCGCGCUCCCUCCCUCCCGAUGGCCGUGGCCUGGCGCUGCCCGCCCUCUUUAUGCGAACGGAGGUGCCGGGCCUGGGGGGUGGGGGGGGGCAGCGGGGCCGCCUCCCCCGUGGCCGGGCUGAGGCUUUGUUCUGAAGAAAUACAGGCUGCUGGGUGAACAUGAUAGUCGGACUGACUUCUCCACUGACAUUUAUAAACCUCCUUUAUGAAGCAUUUAUAUGAAACACUUCGUAAUCCACCAAUCCUGCCGCUCACUAUAAUCAGAGAGAGGGAUUUUUCUUCUAGGCGAAGGCAGCUGAAGACAUUCCACACAUCUGCCAUCAACACAUGUAUGUGCGAUCUCCACAAUGGAGUUACUCCUUAUUACUUCUGUGGCAGCAUACUGAGAGUCGCCAUGGUUGGGGUCCUGUACUGAGAGUAUUAGCAAGAUGGGUGCUGAGGCGCUGGCACAGGGUGCCCAGAGAAGCUGUGGCUGCCCCAUCUCUGGCAGUGUUCAAGGCCAGGUUGGACGGGGCUUGGAGCAACCUGGUCCAAUGGAAGGUGUCCCUGCUCACGGCAGGGGCUUGGAACUGAUUGAGCUUUAAGGUCCUUUCCAACCCAGCUUCUCUGGGCAACCUGUUCAAAUGUAUCACCAACCUCACAGUAAAGAAUUUCUUCCUAAUAGCUAA